Molecule: long non-coding RNA, 1298 nt
Organism: Electrophorus electricus (electric eel)
Lineage: Eukaryota; Metazoa; Chordata; Actinopteri; Gymnotiformes; Gymnotidae
Source: RefSeq, a predicted model, not a curated record
UAACGCAGGAGACGCUAAACAAGUCGACUGUAUGUGCUUCACACAAAUCUGUAAAAGAGACAAAAGAGGAAGUGGAGUUCCACAGGUUUGAGAAACUGGAGUGAAAUGUACAGAGUGAACUAACAACUUGACGAGGAUCCUGGUAAAUGUGAAUGCCAACGUGUCCUGCUGUCCUGAGGUGGUCUCAGGCGAUGCAACCAGCAGAGUGGUGGUUUCAGAAGGGGCGUCAGGCAUAGGAGCAAGCGCCUUAGCAAACCUGGCCUGCAUUAAGCUAAAAAACACUCCAGUGUUCAGGCCUGAGUGUUAAGACUAGGUUUGACCAUUGCAGAGCCUUACCCUCGAGGAAAAGUCAGAAGAUUCAGGACAGGUCAGAUACUUGAAGUAACGAGUGCUUUACAUUAUGGAAGUCUGCCCAAGACCCUGGCUAGUGUAAGCACACAGCGUGAUUGCCAAAGAGGGCGAAAUAAAACAGGCUCCUUCCUGGAUGGUGGAGAGACGCGUGCCCUCGGGCGGGAAUGUUCGACUUACUGCAUCUUUUGUCUCUGUGUAAUACAGAGACAGGCAGGGUGGGACACAAGGUCCCUGUUCGACAUUGUUUAUUUGAAGGAGGAACCGAAUCAAUCCAUGGGCAGCGUACUAGAAUGCAUUACAAAAAAAAUAAAAAAAAUCAAAGCUAAGCUAAACAGGGAGAUAAAUACAGCGGUAAAACUACAGAAAAUGAACAGGCAGAUGAGAACUUUAAUAUAAAGGGGAUAUAAAAAGGACAGACGAAGAAGCCAGGCACAAGCAGCACAAAUACAGAGGGCAAUCAAAGCUAAUGAGAAACAGUUGAGACAAAUCAAACUCAGGGAAAACCGGAACAAGGGGCAGAAAAAGCAUCAAAACAAAGCAACAAAUGGCGAGACAUCAUCUUUUUUCAGUUAUCUGACAGGAAGGCUUCCUCUCACCCAGGGUCAAUCUAAUGGCCCCCUAUCCUCCUCCCUCCUCCCUCCUCCCUCCUCCCUCCUCCACGUGGUGAGGAUCGCCACAUGGCUUUGUUAUUGUUCCUGUUAUUUUGGAUUGACGUGUCACCAUGUGCUCCUGUGUACCAUGUGAUCUCACAUGUUGCCACACCCCCCUUUUUUCGCCUGCCAUGUGCUGCACCUGACCCUUGUUCUCCACUUUGUUAAUGUGUGUAUUUCAACCCCGCUGUGUACUGCCUCCUUUGCCGGCCAUUGUCUUUGCAAUGUUCAUGUGUUGGUCAUGUAUCAUCUGUGUUUUACUUUCAGUUUUUGAAGUAAAUCUUUUUCUGUUCGAGA